UACGGGGGGGAGCAAGCGUUGUUCGGAUUUACUGGGCGUAAAGGGCGCGUAGGCGGUCGUGACAAGUCACUUGUGAAAUCUCCGGGGCUUAACUCGGAACGGUCAAGUGAUACUGUCGGACUAGAGUACAGAAGGGGCAACUGGAAUUCUCGGUGUAGCGGUGAAAUGCGUAGAUAUCGAGAGGAACACCUGCGGCGAAGGCGGGUUGCUGGGCU
RNAcentral lists this ribosomal RNA (215 nucleotides) under uncultured bacterium. RNAcentral describes it as "partial 16S ribosomal RNA". It matches the Rfam family "Bacterial small subunit ribosomal RNA", at positions 524 to 735 of the family's 1533-position model. The record is from RNAcentral.